UAUUCAUCCCAUCAGCACAGAAUGCCAUCUUGGGAUUUGGGACCCUUUUAGAGGACUAUUAUCUUACACAAGACAUAUGUUGGGUGGAUUCUUAAUCCUGGACCUGUAGGGGCAGUCAAGUGGCAAACUACAAAACAUCCACAGGCAAGGAUUGGGUAUUGCUAGGCUCUACUGACUCAAUAGGAAUUUCUUCACUUGGGACAGUAUCUGGAUUACUCUGUCCUCUAUUUAGAGCUUAUCUGACAUUGCAGCACCACUCUAGAAAGUCAAAUGAGACUCAAAAAAAGAAUGGAUUUCACCAAUUCUCUCUCACAUCUUGAGUGCAGAUUGUCUAGGCCUGACUUGGAAUGCAUUGUACGAACACCAGUAUACAUUAGCUCACACACCAGUCAGGUACAAGGACGCUUGGCAAAAUGUCUUUUCACUGAGAAUCUCUUAGUGUACCCAGACAUUAUGAAUGUAUUGUAUCUGUUGGCACAAGUCCUUUUGCCACAUCAAGGCAGGAUGUCAUCACCUGUCCAGCUAUUCUGCUAAGGUAACAUGACUUAUAAACAAUAGUUUGUCUUGCUAUCAUGAGAUUUACAAUGCAGAGGUUUGUUGUGGCAAAGAUGAAGUUAGACUUCAUCAAGAAAGAUGUCAAAGAGCCUCAUUCUCAACAGCUAAUUGAAGAAGUAGCAGGAACUUUAGCUACAGUUGCAGCAGCUUCAAGUGUUGAGGAGGUGCAAUUGUGAUAGAAAGAAUAAUAAUUUUUAUGUUUAGUUAAUAAUUUCAUGGUGCAUUUUCUAAUUAUUUGGCAAUUAUGAUAAAUUAUACUAUAUUAAGUUUAAUGCAUAAUAAAAUAAAUAUUUCCUAUUAAUAUGCUUAUACACUUCAUAUAUGUUUGAAUUUUUUAAUUUAUCUGAGAAUUUAACUCCCACAUUUCCAGAUAAAUUAAUUUAACGAGAAAC
Molecule: long non-coding RNA, 947 nt
Filed under: Androctonus crassicauda
Lineage: Eukaryota; Metazoa; Arthropoda; Arachnida; Scorpiones; Buthidae
Source: RNAcentral